This 163-nucleotide ribosomal RNA is filed under the name Pinguicula benedicta. RNAcentral's name for it is "5.8S ribosomal RNA". It matches the Rfam family "5.8S ribosomal RNA". Rfam says of the family: 5.8S ribosomal RNA (5.8S rRNA) is a component of the large subunit of the eukaryotic ribosome. It is transcribed by RNA polymerase I as part of the 45S precursor that also contains 18S and 28S rRNA. Functionally, it is thought that 5.8S rRNA may be involved in ribosome translocation. Lineage: Eukaryota; Viridiplantae; Streptophyta; Magnoliopsida; Lamiales; Lentibulariaceae. The record is from RNAcentral. RNAcentral also lists the same sequence under 1 other name.
GACUCUCGACAACGGAUAUCUCGGCUCUCGCAUCGAUGAAGAACGUAGCAAAAUGCGAUACAUGGUGUGAAUUGCAGAAUCCCGUGAACCAUCGAGUCUUUGAACGCAAGUUGCGCCCGAAGCCAUCCGGCCUAGGGCACGCCUGCCUGGGCGUCACGCAUAG